UGGGGAAUAUUGCACAAUGGGCGGAAGCCUGAUGCAGCGACGCCGCGUGGGGGAUGAAGGCCUUCGGGUUGUAAACUCCUUUCGACAGGGACGAAGCUUUUGUGACGGUACCUGUAUAAGAAGCACCGGCUAACUACGUGCCAGCAGCCGCGGUAAUACGUAGGGUGCGAGCGUUGUCUGGAAUUACUGGGCGUAAAGAGCUCGUAGGUGGUUUGUCGCGUCGUCUGUGAAAUUCCGGGGCUUAACUCCGGGCGUGCAGGCGAUACGGGCUGACUUGAGUGCUGUAGGGGAGACUGGAAUUCCUGGUGUAGCGGUGAAAUGCGCAGAUAUCAGGAGGAACACCGAUGGCGAAGGCAGGUCUCUGGGCAGUAACUGACGCUGAGGAGCGAAAGCAUGGGUAGCGAACAGG
Molecule: ribosomal RNA, 409 nt
Filed under: Actinomycetes bacterium
Lineage: Bacteria; Bacillati; Actinomycetota; Actinomycetes
Description: Actinobacteria bacterium partial 16S ribosomal RNA
Rfam family: Bacterial small subunit ribosomal RNA
Source: RNAcentral